GCAUAUCAAUAAGCGGAGGAAAAGAAACUAACAAGGAUUCCCCUAGUAACGGCGAGUGAAGCGGGAGGAGCACAAAUUUAAAAUCUACCUGGUUUCCAGGUCGAGUUGUAAUUUGAAGAAACGUUUUUAAUGUUCCGGGCUGGGAUAAAUCCUUUGGGAUAAGGUAUCAUGGAGGGUGAGAAUCCCGUGUAUACCAACCGCAGGGAUGUUAUUUAAUACGUUUUCUAAGAGUCGAGUUGUUUGGGAAUGCAGCUCUAAAUGGGUGGUAAAUUUCACCUAAUGCUAAAUAUAAGCGAGAGACCGAUAGCGAACAAGUACCGUGAGGGAAAGAUGAAAAGAACUUUGAAAAGAGAGUUAAAUAGUACGUGAAAUUGUUGAAAGGGAAACGAUUGAAGUCAGUCAUGCCGGCGGGAAUCAACUUAGGGGAAACUUUAAGUGCACUUCACGUUUGGCAGGUCAGCAUCGAUUUUGGAUGUCAUAAAAUGAUUGGGGGAAGGUAGCUCCUUCGGGAGUGUUAUAGCCCUUGGUAGAUGUGAUGUCUGGGGAUCGAGGAUUGCAACGGAUACCCUUUGGGCUAGCCGCCUGAUCUCUAACUAGUGUUGGGUUACGGACAGCAUGCUGACCGUGAUUUAAUUAUUGGUUAAAAGGUUAGAGCGAGUGUAAAUUCGUUAAGGGUGCUGACGUAAUGGCUUUAAACGAC
This 700-nucleotide ribosomal RNA is filed under the name Scutellospora sp. hr2. RNAcentral's name for it is "eukaryotic LSU rRNA". It matches the Rfam family "Eukaryotic large subunit ribosomal RNA", at positions 38 to 648 of the family's 3401-position model. Lineage: Eukaryota; Fungi; Glomeromycota; Glomeromycetes; Diversisporales; Gigasporaceae. The record is from RNAcentral.